GCUUGUUCCGCUGUCAAGUCUGUCGUGACGCGGAAGAAGGAGGGCCUUGCCGUGCUGCGGGGGUUAAAACGAAGGGAGCUAAUGUUGCGAGUUGUUGAAACAAACAGAAGUUCAUUGCAAAACCAAAGAAGUUUGGCAUUCCCCAUUCAAGAGAGAUUUGUUUGCAACCUUCCCUGAUGUAAAGUCUUCAAGGGCGCUGCACUGCUGGAUGCAUUUGACUCACGAUUUACCAUUGAGAAGAACAGAGAAUGUGAAAUAGAAUGCAUAAGGAGGAUGUUGAAAAAAAUAGGCUGGAACAUUGAGCGAACUGUAGACAAGACCAAGGACCUGAAAACAACAUUUAAGCAGUUUAAAUUGUAUGAUCAAAUAAAUGCUACCAAUCGCUUCACUGACAUGAACUAAAUAAAAUAAGGCAGAACUGGAACUACCAAAACAAGAAGACCACAGGUCCCAAGGAGAAGUGUGGUUGAUAGGAACAAGAAGUGAGACUUUCAAGUGUGGCAAAUGUGAACAUUAGAUUUGCACAGGCAAGUCAAGACUAGAAGCAGGCCACACUGCAAAAGAUUCAUCAAAGAGUUCUACUGUCUUUAGGAGGUUAAAGGUUAAGACUGAAGACUGUGAGCAAAGGACAUCUGUGCUUUUAUCUAAGCAGGAUUAGUAUAUCAUGCAGGCAAUGCCAGCUCCAGCCCAUUUCCAAGGCAUCUGAUUUUAUUAUUUCAGCUCCUCUGGGAAGGUAACCUCAGAACUUCACGGCUUUCUACAAUCACACUGACCCCAAAUAUGGAACCUUCAGUCACAGAGCUACCAGACUGUGACACUGGUUUGUGAAUUUCAAGUACCGUCCAUCUGAAUACAAUGUAGCAGUUAGUUACCAAAAGCAAAAUAUCUAUUUCCUCACUAACCAGAACAAAACUAGGAUCUGAGCCAAAGUUCUUGUCUUCUUUAUCUGAACCAAAUCAAACUAGAGGAAUCACACACCAAGGAUAAAAGCAUCCCUUUGAAUUUACAGAUGUGAACUUCAACCUUUAAUGCAACAAUAUUAUUACAAUGCAGAGAGUGUCAAAAAAUAGCUUUGAUACAAUUGAUGAAUUGACAAUCUGCUUUCUGAAUGAUACAUAAAGCAAAAGAAAAUCAAACUGACCUCCAUUGCACUUUUUAGCUCUUUUGCAUCAAAUAAUGCUGGUGGCAACAUUAGAGCAAUGAUCACAUUUUUAAAGUCACCUGAGAGGUCGUCUUUUAAAUCAUCAAUCAAUUCCUGCAACAGAAAAACAUAUCAGGCAAACAAUAAUAAAAAUAAAAAUACAAAACCAACUGUGCAAUCAACAACUACUUGGACUGUUUCCCUCAACAAUCAUCUAUGACCUCCAUGCUGGAUUGGGGGCCAGCCCCUCCCAUCAGUGUUCACUCAGUGGAAGCCGAGCUGGAUUGUGUGUGUUGUGUGCGCGCGUGCAUAUUUUUUUGUCUGCAGUCUGCUGAGAACUGCUUGUUCUUGCAGAUAAUAUCCAUGCAUUAUCAAUUUACAGGACAUGUCACUCAGGACUUGGGCUCUAUUUUUUUUUAUGUGGUUACAUGUCAGGCUCUAACAUACAUGUGCUAUUUGUGCCUUGUGCUGUGUAAACAGUUGGUACUAUA
Mobula hypostoma (lesser devil ray) is the source of this 1632-nucleotide long non-coding RNA. RefSeq lists it as uncharacterized. The transcript is spliced from 6 exons. The record is from RefSeq and is a predicted model, not a curated record. Lineage: Eukaryota; Metazoa; Chordata; Chondrichthyes; Myliobatiformes; Myliobatidae.